ACGAAGGGUGCAAGCGUUACUCGGAAUUACUGGGCGUAAAGCGUGCGUAGGUGGUUCGUUAAGUCUGAUGUGAAAGCCCUGGGCUCAACCUGGGAAUUGCAUUGGAAACUGGCGGGCUAGAGUACGGUAGAGGGUAGUGGAAUUCCUGGUGUAGCAGUGAAAUGCGUAGAGAUCAGGAGGAACAUCCGUGGCGAAGGCGACUACCUGGACCAGUACUGACACUGAGGCACGAAAGCGUGGGGAGCAAACAGGA
This 253-nucleotide ribosomal RNA is filed under the name uncultured prokaryote. Its description in RNAcentral is "partial 16S ribosomal RNA". It matches the Rfam family "Bacterial small subunit ribosomal RNA", at positions 525 to 777 of the family's 1533-position model. The record is from RNAcentral.